AUCCAGAUGAUGAGUCCCAAAUAAGACAAAAUGUGCAUCUUGGAU
Molecule: non-coding RNA, 45 nt
Filed under: Trichobilharzia regenti
Lineage: Eukaryota; Metazoa; Platyhelminthes; Trematoda; Strigeidida; Schistosomatidae
Source: RNAcentral